UACAGAGGGUGCAAGCGUUGUUCGGAAUUAUUGGGCGUAAAGCGCGUGUAGGCGGCCGAGAAAGUCGCGUGUGAAAUCCCUCAGCUUAACUGAGGAAGUGCGCGCGAAACUCCUUGGCUUGAGUGCUGGAGAGGAUGGCGGAAUUCCGCAAGUAGAGGUGAAAUUCGUAGAUAUGCGGAGGAACACCGGUGGCGAAGGCGGCCAUCUGGACAGCCACUGACGCUGAGACGCGAAAGCGUGGGGAGCAAACAGG
Molecule: ribosomal RNA, 253 nt
Filed under: uncultured bacterium
Lineage: Bacteria
Description: partial 16S ribosomal RNA
Rfam family: Bacterial small subunit ribosomal RNA
Source: RNAcentral